Symphalangus syndactylus (siamang) is the source of this 308-nucleotide long non-coding RNA. RefSeq lists it as uncharacterized. Lineage: Eukaryota; Metazoa; Chordata; Mammalia; Primates; Hylobatidae. The record is from RefSeq and is a predicted model, not a curated record.
CUGAAACGCCACAAACCAACAUGGACUCCCCAAGGGGCUCAGGGCUGGAGUGCAGUGGUUUGAUCUUGGAUCUCUGCAACCUCCACCACCCUCCUGCCUCAGCCUCCCGAGUAGCUGGGAUUACAGAGGUGAGGGUCUCACUACAUUGUCCAGCCUAGUCUUGAACUCCUGGCCUCAAGGAUCGUCUCACCUUAGACUCCUAAAACUGCUGGGAUUACAGGUAUGAGGCACCACACCCGGCCCCAAACUCUUUUAGAGUAGUUUUAGGUUCACAGCAAAUUGAGCAGAAAGUGCAGAGAGUUCCUAUA